ACCUAGGGGCGCAGCAGUGGGGAAUAUUGCACAAUGGGGGAAACCCUGAUGCAGCAACGCCGCGUGAAGGAAGACGGUUUUCGGAUUGUAAACUUCUGUUCUUAGUGAAGAAGAAUGACGGUAGCUAAGGAGCAAGCCACGGCUAACUACGUGCCAGCAGCCGCGGUAAUACGUAGGUGGCAAGCGUUGUCCGGAAUUACUGGGUGUAAAGGGAGCGCAGGCGGGAAGCCAAGUCAGCUGUGAAAACUACGGGCUUAACUUGUAGACUGCAGUUGAAACUGGUUUUCUUGAGUGAAGUAGAGGUU
This 305-nucleotide ribosomal RNA is filed under the name uncultured bacterium. Its description in RNAcentral is "bacterial SSU rRNA". It matches the Rfam family "Bacterial small subunit ribosomal RNA", at positions 335 to 659 of the family's 1533-position model. The record is from RNAcentral.